This is a non-coding RNA of Podarcis lilfordi (Lilford's wall lizard), 8264 nucleotides long. Lineage: Eukaryota; Metazoa; Chordata; Lepidosauria; Squamata; Lacertidae. The record is from the annotation of a GenBank genome assembly.
CAGUUGGUAUGAUUAUGGCAGUUGGGAACAGUCUUGACAGUUAGAGCAGCAGGUACGUUCUGUGGGUGUGCUGCAGAACAUACAGCAGGUAUGUUGCUCUCUGUCUCAGAGUUAGUCAGUCUGCGACAGUAUUUUAUCUCACCUACAAAUCUAGGUAAGAUGUAUUAGCAACAUAAGUUACACCUACCUGCUUUGUGUAUUUAACCUGCAAGUGCAAAUGCAUCGAGUUAAGAGUUAUUUAUUAUUUAAACUUCAAGGAGAGUGUUUUGCGGGUUUUUAUAGGAGGAAAAAGGGAACUAAGUCAAGAGUUGGACUCUCUUCCGCGUAACUCUGUAAAUGGGAGCUAGAGUUUAAUUCCCACAGAAGGAACCCAGUCCAACCCCCUGCAAUGCAAGAAUCUCAACUAAAGCAUCCAUGACAGAUGGCCAUCCAAACUCUGCAUGAAAAGAAACCUCCUGAGGGAGACCGUUCCACGUCAAGCAGCACUUACUGUCAGAAAGUUCUUCCUGAUGUUGAGUCAGAAUCUCCUUUCUUGUAACUUGAAUCCAUCGGUUCAGGACCUAUCCUCAGGAGCAGGAGAAAACAAGCCUGUUCCUUCUUCCAUGUGACACCCCUUAAGUGGUUGGUGAUGUCUAUUUUCAUCCUGAAUAACUAGAACAGGGGUCAGAAAACUUUUUCAGCAGUCCCUCAGACCUUGUGGGGGAGGGGGCGGACUAUAUUUUUUUUGGGGGGGAUGAAUGAAUUCCUAUGCCCCACAAAUAACCCAGAGAUGCAUUUUAAAUAAAAGCACACAUUCUACUCAUGUAAAAACACGCUGAUUCCCAGACCGUCCCUGGGCCGGAUUUAGAAGGCGUUUGGACUGGAUUCAGACCCCGGGCCUUAGUUUGCCUACCCAUGAACUAGAAGAUUGAGCGCCAUACUGUCAGCAACAGAGGGCACCAUGCUGCUUUCUCCAAAACUCAAAAGUCACUCCUGAUGACUGCAGUAUUUCGGGUUGUUAUUUGGCUGUGGAUUCCUUCACAGAUACCAACUGCUACUGCAGCUUUACUAAUCAGCAUCACAUGCCAUGAAGGAUACACAAUACAGUGGUACCUCGGGUUAAGAACUUAAUUCGUUCUGGAGGUCCAUUCUUAACCUGAAGCUGUUCUUAACCUGAAGCACCACUUUAGCUAACGGGGCCUCCUGUUGCUGCUGCGCCGCCGCUGCACAAUUUCUGUUCUCAUCCUGAAGCAAAGUUCUUAACCCGAGGUACUAUUUCUGGGUCAGCGGAGUCUGUAACCUGAAGCGUCUGUAACUUGAAGCAUCUGUAACCCAAGGUACCACUGUAUGUUAUAUUCUACAUUGCUUCCCUAGAACCUACUUGAAAGUCUGGUUACCUCCUUCUGUCUUCGAAUGGAGCCAACGUGAAUAAAAUAUUGGGGGGGGGCCGCGCUCUGCAUAAUCGAUCACAUGACAUGGCGCACACACACCAUUUGAAUGGCAAUGCCAAUCAACUUUGGGGCGCCCUCAAAAAUUUUAUGGACCUCAACCCCUAGAUAUUGACUCCUAUGCUGUCAUCUGAAAGCAAACAGCUGUCACUUGGGGGCAGCAGUUGGAGCUCAUGAGUAGGGGGGAAUCUGCUCUUCCCCUUCAAAUCCGUGCAACAGGGUGAGCUCCCAUUCCUCUGUCCCUGCUCCUGCCAACCUAGCAGUUCGAAAGCACACCAGUGCAAGUAGAUGAAUAGGUACCGCUGCGGUGGGAAGGUAAACGUCAUUUCCGUGUGCUCUGGUUUCCAUCACAGUGUCCCAUUGCACCAGAAGUGGUUUAGUCCUGCUGGCCACAUGACCAGGAAAGCUGUCUGUGGACAAACACUGGCUCCCUUGGCCUGGAAAGUGAGAUAAGCGCAGCAACCCCAUAGUCACCCUUGACUGGACUUAACCAUUUACCUUUUUUUACUCUUCCCCUGCCCCAACCCACCUUGCCUGGUGCCUUCCCUAUGGUCUUUUCGGCAGCAGGUAGAUAGAUACCUGGGCUUUUAAGUUUUGCUUCAAAUGGUUCUAUUUUGUCUUUGUUGUAGGUUUUGUUGUUUUUAGCACAUAUUCUUGAUUUUCAUUUUCAUUAUAUUAAAAAUUAUAUAUAUUAUUUUUUUUGUAAGCUGCCCAGGGAACACUGAUUGCCUGAUGGCUGUAUAGAUGUAUCUGAAUAGGAACAUAAGGAGCUGCCUAAUACUAAGUCGUACCAUAGGUCCAUCUAUCCCAGUAUUGUCCUCACUGACUGGCAGCAGCUCUCCACUGCUGGGCAUUGAGUCUUGGACUUUUUGUACACCAAACAGAUGCUCUACCACUGAACUAAAGCAAUAAGAUGAACCUUGAUAAUUUUAAACUGAAUGGAGAAGCCGUGCUAGACCUGAGAUCAGAUGCACCUCUUUUCCUUUGCAAAAUGCAAUGCUAUUUCCAGACCGACAGGCCUGCAGACGCCUUAAUCCAAAUUUCUUUCCAAAUGGCACGGCGUUGCUUUCUUUAUUUCAAGAUGACCACCUUCCCCUGAUGGGUAACCUCUUUUCUGAAUAGAGUGAAAUCAAAACACUCUCCAGAAAAACAAUCUGUACUUGUCAGAGCUGAGAGCCAAGCAGUUUGAGAUGAAUGCAGUCUCUCUCUCUCCUCUGAAAGCCGCCAGACAGGAAUCCUUUGGGUGUGAGAGGCUUUUCAAUCAAGAUGCAGCCUCUGUCUUGGUGGGACCAAAUUGAUGGCCGAGUGCUCUCUGGGUUCAAAGAUGUUCUUUUCCCGCUUUCUCGCUUUAAACAAACACAUGUCUCAUGGGGAAUGUUUGCACACUUUUGGCUGUUAGCCGUUCCUCUGGGGAAAUGUGCCCUUUCCCACCCCAAGCAAGCAUGGUGUGCAACGAAACCAGGACACAAAUUAAGCAGAAGCUGGUUAAUUAAUCCCAUGACUGAGAUUCCUCUGGCCCUGAGACCUUCCCCCUGUCUGCCAGUAGUAGCUGCAUUCCACCAGUCUAGAUGGCUUUAAAAGGAAGGGUGCGGGCUCUUGUGGUCAGAUCCUGCUUCAGGCACCUGGUUGGCCACUGUGAGAACAGGAUACUGGACUUGAAGGACCACUGGCCUGAUCCAGCAGGCUCUUCUGAUAUGGACAUUGUCAGGCUUCAGGGAAUCAGCUUCCUCCCUCCAUGGCAGUAGAUAAGCAGAACAAAGGAAAAGGAGUCUUCUUACCACUUAGAAACUUUAAUAAUCACAGCAAGAGAACAAAGAACUCGUCUCAUAGAAAUGGCGGUGCUCCCAAUUAAGGAUCCCACCCCCUUCUGUCCCUAUUAAUCUACGUCACUUCCAGGUCUUGUAAUUUGGGCCUGUCCCCUCUGUGCUUUGUGUGCUUUCUGUUCUGCCACUUUCUCAGCUCUUGAAAGACCUACACUGGCUCCCAGUACGUUUCCAAGCACAAUUCAAAGUGUUGGUGUUGACCUUUAAAGCCCUAAACGGCCUCGGUCCAGUAUACCUGAAGGAGCGUCUCCACCCCCAUCGUUCUGCCCGGACACUGAAGUCCAGCACUGAGGGCCUUCUGGCGGUUCCCUCACUGUGAGAAGCCAAGUUACAGGGAACCAGGCAGAGGGCCUUCUUGGUAGUGGUACCCGCCCUGUGGAACACCCUCCCACCAGAUGUCAAAUAGAAAAACAACUACCAGACUUUUAGAAGACAUCUGAAGGCAGCCCUGUUUAGGGAAGCUUUUAAUGUUUAAUGGGUUAUUGUAUUUUAAUAUUCUGUUGGAAGCUGCCCAGAGUGGCUGGGGAAGCCCAGCCAGAUGGGCAGGGUAUAAAUAAUAAAUUAUUAUUAUUAUUAUUGACCUUGGGGAGAGUGGAUGAAUGCUUUCCAUAGACAGUGAAUCUGUUAACCCUCUUUCCUCCAGUGUUUCUUCUCCUAGCUGUUCACCAAACAGUUCUUCCCAACAUCUGCCUUCUGAACUAUGCCCCUCUGCAAACCACUGUUCCAAAUCUAUACUAUCCUCCUGCUCCUGGGAAGAUUCAGGAUAAGGAUCAGGGGGAGGGGGUGGCUCUCACCAUUCCUCCUCAGUGCAGCCCUCCUCAGCACGGUCCCUGACAGACAUAAAGAAAUCUAUAGGUCUCUAAUCCUAAAUCAGCCCCCCUUCUAUUGUUUGAUGGCCUUGGGCUACAGCUGUCACUUGCCCCACUCCUCUGCUACCCAACAGGGAUUUCAUUUGCUUUGUUAAACGUCAGACAUCAUUUUGGUUGUUUUUUUCUCUUUCCCUCCCACGAACAGCACCACCAAUCAACUUGGCCUUAACCAUUGACUAGAGUGUGUGAGGUUGCAGGAAACCCAUAUAAUCAAGUGUGGGCCCAAAUCAGAUCCUUCUUGACUAUAUCCAAGAACAGGCCUUUGGACCUUGCUUGGUCUUGUCUCCUUUCCUCACUACUGAAACCUCUGACACCUCCGUGAGGCCUGAAACAGUACCUCUGAAUGGUCCUUGCCAGAGUGAAACAUUUCUCCUCUAUAGCGAACUCCGCUCUGCACGGUUAUCAAGCAUUGUUCAAGAAGAAAUCUCCACUCCCAUGGAGCACAUUAAAUUACUUCUCAGCCUCGCUUUCCCCAUUUGGUCACAUUUCGCUGCAUCUCACGCUGGGUAGUUCCAUUCGACUUGGACUUGUACAGAACUUCCUUUUGCGACUUGACGGGUGCAGCAGUCCUGUUCAUGAUGAAAUUAAAAGCAUUCAUCCACAAAGACAAGGCUGCUCUCAGCCACUGCCAUUCCUCUAAACUGUAGGAUUAUCCCCACCCACCCAGUUCAUCAUGCCAGAGAAAGGAGAAGGGGAAUUGAAGGAAGGGGAAAAUCUUCUCUUUCGUUGGUGAAGAGUUACUAGCAAUGAAUUAGAUUUAAUGUUAUGCUCUCUGCUUAUCAUGAGCUUCUCACAGCUAUCAUUGUAUUCUUAUGCUGGGCAUCCCGGGAGAGGGCUGGUUAGCCACUGUGAGGACAGAAUGCAGAACUCGGUGGGCCAUUGGCCUGAUCCAACAGAUCUCUUCCUGUGUUCUUAUGAAACAGAGCAUGCAUAAGCAGCAGUUCUACUCAGGGGAGAGAAGCUGUUUGCUCCACUUUCAUAGGGAUGUGCGAACAUAAGAAAAGGCUGCUGGAUCAUGAAAAUAUAUUGGUGAGGAUAACAUGCAAAAAUGCAUGAUAUUAAGAGAAAUUGCAUGCCAAAAUGUGUCAAAACUGCAUGCAAAAAUGUGUUUAUUAGGAGAAAUUUGCACUGUAAUGCUGGAUAAUUUUCAUGGGGAUUUUUAAAUUAUUAUUUUUUUUAGUCACAAACUGCUGCAUAAAUGUGGAGAACUGAUCUUCAGGGGAGGAAAAAGAGAAAUUGAGACAACCGAAGCUGACAAAUCUUUCCAUCCCUAGUAAUGACACUCUCCUCUUGAACGUCAGAAAUAGACGGAGCGGUAUGUUGCUAUCCUUAGUCCCUCCAUCUUCAGUGUUCAGUACUCAGGGGCAGUGCUUUUUUCGGGGGGGGGGACACGGGACACAGGGGUACACAUACCUCUAAACAUUUUGUGAAUCUAACGGGAGAAGAAACUAAAAAAAAAUUUAAAAAUUAGUUUCUUUGCUAGCACGGUAAAUCAUCAGUUCCGUUGCUACCCCCGAUGGCGGCCUCAUUUUCUGUCACAGUGUUUCCUGAGUCUCAGAUGGAAGCGAGUGUUUAACGUGUGAAGUAGGACUUGGAAUCUAGCACCUCCGAUAGUGGCCUCAUUUCCUUUCCCCGUGAUUUUCUUGAGUCAAAAUGAGAGUACCCCUUAAACAUUUUUUUUUAUUAAAAAAAAGCACUGCUCGGGGGUCUGAAAACUGCUUAGGAACAAUAUAUUAACUAUGCCCUUCCCCCAAUAACUUCACCUCACUUCAUUCCACCAGCAUUUAUUAUUUUCUGUGAACCAUUUUGACUCUAAUUAUUGUCCUGAUUGAGUCGGGCUAUGCUGUAUCCAGGGUUUCACAAAUCCUUAGAAAACAGUGAGAGUUUGAGCAACGCAGAAGGCAAGACAGUCAUCGGACAAAAUGCUGCCUGCUUUAUCUGAUGGAGAUCUCCCAGCUGAAAUAGAAGCGCAGGCGAGUACAUUAAGUUGGGAGAUUUGGCAUUCUUUGAUCUCCAUCAGAGGAGAUUACAUCUGGGGCGCAUGUGGGUUGUGAAGGCUUAUUGUUUCCAUGACAAGUGUCAGUUGCCCUCAUCCCAGCCAUUAUUCUUUCACAACAUCAGGCUGCCUGUAAUCCUCCCGCAAAAACAAAACCCAAAGUUUACAGGGCUCCGAAUACUUUUUAUGGUGUGCUCUGGGCCGCUAUGCUCUUUAAAAAAAAAUCACAAACCAAAAUCCAUUUCCUCUGCUGGCAUGGAACACACACGGUUAUUAUGCAUGAGGUCCAGCCUGCAAGUAUGACAUAAAUGAAAUGCGCAUGGUUUUUAUGUGUGGAAAUAAAACACUCUGGAUGAGCCAGGAACCCUUCAGCAAAACAGAGGCCUGAGCAGAGGGAUUAGAUGCCAGUCAAUCAGAAACACUAUUUCCCCUCUCUCUCCGUAUUCCCUCUACACACACACACACACACACACACACACACGGGGUGGGCAGCUGCUGCAUGGUGUCUGAGUCCCUUGUAAUUAGUGUUGAAUUAGCCAGGCAAGGGCCAUAAUGGCCCCCUAACUAUGGGUCGUUAGUGUAAAAACAGAAGCUCUCUGCACCAUAGGGGAAAUCGGCAGCUGGCAAUGACAAAAACAAAAGCCAGAGAGUUGAGUGUGUGUGUGUGUAAUAUACUCGGAGUCGAGAGUGGAUUUCAUGCUCUUUAUUCAGUUCAUAGUGGUGAGGAGGAAUGGAAGUUCCCCCAGAAUGUCUGCUUUAUAUACAUUAUUUACACAAUGGGCCCCACGUGAUUGGCUAAUUCCGGGAUUCACCUGUAGGCCAAUCAGGUUGCGGAUUCACUUCCACCUGGAGCUGGAUUGGGUGGCUCCUGUGGACCAAUCAGACUACUGCAUUCUGGACCCUAUUGUUCUAGGACCAAUCAGACUGCUGCAUUAUGAAUCCUAUUGUUCUAGGACCAAUCAGACUGCUGCAUUCUGAAUCCUAUUGUUCUAGGACCAAUCAGACUGCUGCAUUAUGAAUCCUAUUGUUCUAGGACCAAUCAGACUGCUGCCUUUUGGAUCCUAUUCAACUCAGUACAUAACAGUGUGAGAGAGAGCUGGGCUAGAAUAAGGUUACCAGAUUUUUUUUCAAUGAAUCCGGGGGACAGUUAUUGUUUGCUAUGUACAUGUGAAUGCCGAGAAAUCUGUAAAUCCAGGGACUGUCCCCGGGAAACAGGGACAUCUGGUAACCUUACUCUAUGGGAAAAUAUCAAAGAGUAUGGCUCUUUCUCUUUUUUGCCUUUCCAAAGCAGGUUCUUCAGAGGCAGAAGACCUUCAUGGGAGGGGAAGACAGUUUAUUUCAGAGCUCAGAGAACAAGGAAUGACUCAAGGCGGGGUGUGUGACCAAAAGGUACCCCUGCUGCUUUUGCGGCCGCCACCCAUCUUUUUAAAGUCAGUUUCUUUUAAAGCAGGAAGCAAGCUGUGGAGAUGCUUUUUUUAAAAAAAAGGACUGGUCAACAACUUUUGCACAGGGCACCACAUGGGAAGAAGAAUCUGUUGGUUCAUUUCCAAGGAGAACAAAGGGGCAGAGAGAGGAGAGGAGCCCUGCUUGUGGGCAGCAGCAGCAGAAGGAAUUGAGAGUUUCAUUUGUGGAGAAAGAGAAGCAGAGCCUCUCUGAUUCUCCAGAGCCUAGAAAACAUAGCAGACAAGGCUGCGGCAGAGGUUGCCAACAAGCCAGGGGGGAAAGCAGCCUGACCUGCUCUUGCACAGAUGGUUUAAUAUGCAGAAAUCAAUGUAAUAGUGCUCGUUUGAUUAUUUUUCUUUUAAAAAAAAAAUUAUUAGGAAUUUAAACAUAUUAUCUUAAAGCAUUUCAUCCUUCAUUUCCACCCCAUUUCCACCCUCCCUCCCAUAAAAUAACCCCCGCCCCACCCCGCCCGCCCCGGACUUCCUUCAGUUCCAAUCUCUGGUUUCUCUAUAGAUGCUAUUCUCUGCAUGUUACAAGAUUGUACAGUGGUGCCCCGCAAGACGAAUGCCUCGCAUGACGGAAAACCCGCUAGACGAAAGGGUUUUCCAUUUUUCAAUGCGCUUUGCAGGACGAAUUUCCCUAUGGGCUUGCUUCGCAAGAUGAAAAUGUCUUGCGAGUCUUGAGAUUUUUUUCGCUCCCCCCCUUU